GUCCACGCCUUAAACGAUGUCAACUAGGUUGUAGAGGCUCUGACGCCGUUACAGCCGAAGCAAAAGUGUUAAGUUGACCGCCUGGGGAGUACGGUCGCAAGGCUAAAACUCAAAGGAAUUGACGGGGGCUCACACAAGCGGUGGAGCAUGUGGAUUAAUUCGAAGCAACGCGCAGAACCUUACCUUGGUUUGACAUGUACGGAUGCUUCCCUGGAAACAGGGUAAGUUACCGCAAGGUGAAACGUAUACAGGUGCUGCAUGGCUGUCGU
Molecule: ribosomal RNA, 269 nt
Filed under: uncultured bacterium
Lineage: Bacteria
Description: partial 16S ribosomal RNA
Rfam family: Bacterial small subunit ribosomal RNA
Source: RNAcentral